RNAcentral lists this ribosomal RNA (606 nucleotides) under Salmonella enterica. RNAcentral describes it as "partial 23S ribosomal RNA". It matches the Rfam family "Bacterial large subunit ribosomal RNA", at positions 583 to 1190 of the family's 2925-position model. The record is from RNAcentral. Lineage: Bacteria; Pseudomonadati; Pseudomonadota; Gammaproteobacteria; Enterobacterales; Enterobacteriaceae.
GUUUACCUGUGUGACUGCGUACCUUUUGUAUAAUGGGUCAGCGACUUAUAUUCUGUAGCAAGGUUAACCGUAUAGGGGAGCCGUAGGGAAACCGAGUCUUAACCGGGCGUUAAGUUGCAGGGUAUAGACCCGAAACCCGGUGAUCUAGCCAUGGGCAGGUUGAAGGUUGGGUAACACUAACUGGAGGACCGAACCGACUAAUGUUGAAAAAUUAGCGGAUGACCUGUGGCUGGGGGUGAAAGGCCAAUCAAACCGGGAGAUAGCUGGUUCUCCCCGAAAGCUAUUUAGGUAGCGCCUCGUGAAUUCAUCUCCGGGGGUAGAGCACUGUUUCGGCUAGGGGGCCAUCCCGGCUUACCAACCCGAUGCAAACUGCGAAUACCGGAGAAUGUUAUCACGGGAGACACACGGCGGGUGCUAACGUCCGUCGUGAAGAGGGAAACAACCCAGACCGCCAGCUAAGGUCCCAAAGUCAUGGUUAAGUGGGAAACGAUGUGGGAAGGCCCAGACAGCCAGGAUGUUGGCUUAGAAGCAGCCAUCAUUUAAAGAAAGCGUAAUAGCUCACUGGUCGAGUCGGCCUGCGCGGAAGAUGUAACGGGGCUAAACCAU